This 704-nucleotide long non-coding RNA is filed under the name Homo sapiens (human). RNAcentral describes it as "non-protein coding LINC01224:40". The record is from RNAcentral. Lineage: Eukaryota; Metazoa; Chordata; Mammalia; Primates; Hominidae.
UUUGUAUCUCACUCCCGCCACAGCUUGGGAUCGGUCUCUGCUGUUUUACGUCCUCCACCUCGGGAGCCCCCGGUGACUGUCACAGCCUCUUGCCCUGUGAUCUGCAGGUUCUGGGAGACGCACAGCUAAGAUGCCAGGACAUCCUGGAAGCUGGGAAAAGGAUGGAGUUUCACUCUUGUUGCCCAGGCUGGAGUGCAUUAUCCCAAUCUCGGCUUACUACAACCUCCGCCUCCCAGACUCCUGACCUCAGGCGAUCCACCCACUUCCCAAAGUGCAGGGAUUACAGGUGUGAGCCACCACGCCCGGCCUCUCAACCUAUCAACCUAAUUUUUAUUCUUAGUAGACACGUUGGUGGUGAGCCAAUCAGAUGUUGUUAUUGAUGAGAAAAAGCAGAAAUGAUUUCUGUUGAUUCUUGAAAUAAAAUUUUUUCCAAAGGACAAGAAGCUCCCAUCCCAGUAAGGCAAUGCAAGAACCUGAAGCAAAAUGCACCUGAGGCUUACAGUGGGGUUCUGACAACAAAGGAGAUUGUGACAUAUUGCUGGGCCUAACACUAAGGUGAUGUUAGUUAUUUGCUUUGGCUGUGCCCUUGGAAGGCAUUGAGACAUACUGCUGUGCCCAGCACCAAGAUGAUAGGUAACGUGACUCUUCUGCUUCAGGCCUGCCAAAAGAAAAGAUUGUGACAGAUCACUGGACCCAGCACCUAG